RNAcentral lists this ribosomal RNA (450 nucleotides) under uncultured bacterium. RNAcentral's name for it is "partial 16S ribosomal RNA". It matches the Rfam family "Bacterial small subunit ribosomal RNA", at positions 354 to 796 of the family's 1533-position model. The record is from RNAcentral.
GUGGGGAAUUUUGGACAAUGGGCGCAAGCCUGAUCCAGCAAUGCCGCGUGCAGGAAGAAGGCCUUCGGGUUGUAAACUGCUUUUGUACGGAACGAAACGGUCCUGGUUAAUACCUGGGGCUAAUGACGGUACCGUAAGAAUAAGCACCGGCUAACUACGUGCCAGCAGCCGCGGUAAUACGUAGGGUGCGAGCGUUACUCGGAAUUACUGGGCGUAAAGCGUGCGCAGGCGGUGCUGUAAGACAGGCGUGAAAUCCCCGGGCUCAACCUGGGAAUUGCGCUUGUGACUGCAGUGCUGGAGUACGGCAGAGGGGGAUGGAAUUCCGCGUGUAGCAGUGAAAUGCGUAGAUAUGCGGAGGAACACCGAUGGCGAAGGCAGUCCCCUGGGCCUGUACUGACGCUCAUGCACGAAAGCGUGGGGAGCAAACAGGAUUAGAAACCCCGGUAGUCC